GAAUUGAAUUAUGUGAAACAACGCUUAUACUCUAAGCUACCGUUUGGUUCGGGGUUAAGAAAAAACUAGUUAUUCCAGGGAUAGGAUUAAGUUUAGGGUUAAGGUGGGGUUAUUUUUGUGUUUGGUUGAGAAUUAGAAUUAGUUCAGGAUAGUGAAAAAUAGUGUUUGGUUGGAGUAGGUGGGAUAAGAAGGAUAGUGAGUUAUUAUGAAUAGAAAAUAGUGUUUGGUUGGGCUUUGAUGGGAUUAGCUAACCCGGGAUAAUCUAUUUUUAGAAGUGUUUGGGAAUAAAAUGGGCCUUUACGUCUGAGCUCGAGACUUUUUAAUCGGCCUAUGACGUGGGCUUGAAUUAAAUGAGAGAAAAUUAAUAUGCUAGGAGCCUGGCGUGAUUCGAACUCAGAAUAUCCUGCUCUGAUACCAUGAUACCAUGUAAAACAACCGCUGUACUCUAAAAACUUAAUCUGUUAGAGAACGGUGUUUAAAUAUUUUUAUAUUUAACAAAUUAUGUAUAUUUUUAUUAUGAGAAAGGAUUAUUCAAGCGUAUGCAACUAAAAACAAACAUCAGUGUCGAGAAUUUUUUUUUUAAUUACAUAAUUCUGGUAUGGGAAGUUUGAAAUUUUAUUAAAUAUAUCUUAAUUAAUUUAGGAAAAAAAUAAAAAUAGUUAUGUGUUUAUACGAUAGAGCCACUAAAUAUUGUAAACUUAUAAAUUAAAAAUAGAAAUUGAAAAAAAUAUCAAUAAAGCAAGGUAAAAAUAUACAGAACUUAUCUAAAUUAUGGACUAUUUUGAAUCGGCUAUUUAACUUUUCAAUUUGUUUGAUUUAAAUCAGUCAACGAUAUUUUGAUUUUAAUGUUUAAAUUAAUUAUUUACAUUAAUAAAUUAUAUAAAGUAUACAAUUAAAAAUUUGAAUUCAAAGUGCCGAUGACUGACUCAAAUAAAAUAAAUUAAAAUAUCGAAUAGAAAAUUAAAAUUUUGAAAAAUUGAAUAACCAAUUUAAAAUAGUUCAUAAUUCAAAUGAGUUCUAUAUAGUUUUAGCAUAAAAAAAUUAGGAUCUGUUCUCAAAUGGCCAAUAGUUGAGGGGGUCUUCAUUCAUUUUCCAAAGAUUCUUAACGCCGUUAAGUUGCUGACACGAGGCAUAACGACCGUGGGCCCGGUGUACGGCCCAAAUUUAAAAUAUUCCUCGCGGGGCCCACCAUGGGUGAGACGUGCGAAUUUGUAGGGGACGCGUGAGAUCAAAUCUCCACCGUCCAUCAUCAAUUUCUCCUAUUAGUUUUUUGUUACGUCGUGAUAGUCAACUAUUUGAACUCAUCGCGUUACCCCCCACAGUUGCGAAAAAUCUCAACCGUUCAUCACAUGAUUUUGCGGACGAGUCCAUCGUGCUUAGAAUGGGUAAAAAAUGCAUAGAGGCCCCUCAACUUGUACUUCUUUAGAAUUGGGUAAUUUUCGUAAACAAAAUUUGAAAACUAUAUAAAAUUUAUCGCUGAUUUCGCCAAAUUUAAUAAUUUUAAUUAUUUUUUAGUAAAUAAAACUGGGUCACUAAAUUUCAUAAAAUUUUUAGCUUAGGUAAGUAUAAAAUCUCAAAUAGAAAAAAAGGUAAACAUGUAUAAAACUUGCCUGAAUUAUAUAUCAUUCUGUUUCGGCUAUACCAAAUCUUAUUAAAUUUUUUUAUUUUGGUACAUAAUUUUAAAUUAUUUAAUUUAAUUUUUUUGAUGAUUCUUUCGGUACAAAAUUUAAGCUAAUCAUUUAUUUUAAUAAUAUAUAUUAAUCAAGUACGUAAAGGUAAACGAUGCAUUCAAGUUUUGAAAUUAAAAAGUCAUUGUAUAGCUGACUCAAAAUAAUAAAUUAAAAAGAUAGAAAAUAAAGUAAAAAAUUUAAAGAUUAGAUAGUUAUAUCAAAUUGAUGAUAGUGGAGGUAACUUUUAUACAUUUUUAUCCAAAAAUGUGAAAAAAAAGUUGAGGGGGCCAUUUGAGAUUUUUCCCUAUAAGUCAACUCCCAUAACUAGUCACAUGUAGACAUGCAUAUUAAUAAAAAUAAAAAUAAAUACUGGACAUGAAACCCCAACUAUUGUCUCACAUAUUUAUUUUAUAAAUAAAAUGAAUAGGUUGGUUGAAUCUACUAUUGUUAUAUUAGCUGGCUAUGUGCAUUGGUUACAAUAUGAUUUUGGAACAAGAUGUUGAAAUAUAUGUGCACAUCUAGAUGUAGAUAUAAAUUAAAUUAAAUUACACAUUUGUAUAUAUAAUAAUUUGAAGCAUCAUGCAUGGUUUACUAUAUUGGAGAUUAAUACAUGUGCCGUGUAAUAAAAGAAGAGAGAAAUGUGUUCUAAACUUUUCAUUCAAGCGCUUCAGAAACUUUAUGAUGUAUAGUAAACGAAAAUGCGAAAUUUUGUACUGUGAUUUUUCGCGAAACAUUUCGUAAAUUAGGCACCUAUCUAGCUAAUCUGCAUUAUUGUUAUUUUUUUAAGGGAAUUAAUGUCACAUCAUCUUUGCUUCAAUAAUUUUGCUUAUGAAUGUCACCCUUGUGGGGUCUAUGAGUGCUGAGUACAUGCAAUAUUUUGUUGAUAUUAAAAAUGCUUAUCAGAAUCUUGUGGCAGGUGAUGACCUGCUUAAUUAACAGUUUCCAAGACUACAAAUGAGAUCAUAAAAUAAUUGUAGAAGUACACAAAAAAAGAGGAAAUUAUGUACAAAUUGAAACAGGAUUGAGAUAGCAACAUUACAUGGAUAUAUUUGUGCACUUAAGGGUGCGUUUGGUUCGCAUUAUGAAAGAUUACUAGGAAUAAAAGAUAUCUGAGAAUUUUAUUCCUAUUCAUUCUAUUACUAAGAAUGUGGAAUACCUGUGUAUGGUUCGCAUGGUAAUAUUAAUUAGCCAUGUUAUUUAAUAUUACAAAAAAUAUACAAUUAAUUAAUUAAUUUAUUUAUUUAAUUUUAAAUAAUGUUACCAAAAGUUUCAACAUCUUUUUAGAAAAAAGGAAGAGAGAGUAUAAGUUAGAGAGAGAGAACAUAAUUAAAAAAAUAGAAAGAAAAAUAUAGUCGAAAUUAGAGGGAGUGACAGAGUUGAAAUUUUAGAAAGAGAGAGAGAGAGAGAAAGCUUAGUUUAGAGAGAGAAAAAAAAAUUGAAUUUUAGAGAGAAAAAUAAGUUUAGAGAGAGAUAUAAGGUUAGAGUGUAAAGAAAAAUAAUAUCAAUUAGCCGGCGGGUAGGAAGAAAGAAAGAGAUUAGACAUAUUAUGAUUAUCCUAAUCCAUUAAUAUGAGGAUAUCCACCCUCUCUCAAGAGAAUGAGAUUAGUACUUUAGGGUGAAUCUUAUUCCCAAGUGAAUCCAAUAUUACCAACCAGAUUACUUAGUGCGUUUAGUCAAACACCGUCAUAUUUUUUUAUUCCCAUUAGAUUACUAGAAAUCUUUAAAAGAUAGUGCGAACCAAACGCACCCAAAAGUCAAUUAAGUUACUUGGAUUUGAAAUUGCCUCUUAAUUGUCUCCAUCAUAAACCAUGUAUUUGCAUCAUAUUUGAUUCUUGUAUGGAUCUCACAAGAGUCCAAUUAAUUGCUCUCAAAAGGAGUAGGUUUUAGUCUAAGUUGUGGGGCAUCCCAUGAUUUGGAUAUAAUUUGGCCUCAAGUGUGCUCAAAUAUUCAAAAGAAUACUAUUUCAUAGUUUGAAAUAGAACACCAAAUUUGGUUGUACGUAUAUAUUUAUAUUAAUUGUUAGGUAAAAUUGUCCCAUGUCUCAUAGAAUUAAACUAAAGAAUUUUAUUAGUGUAUAAAUAUAAUGGGUACAAGAGUAUCUCCGUCAAUCAGCUUAAGCUUUUGGAUUGGUUCUGUUAAUAUAUACUCUUAGGUAUCGUUUGGUUCGGGGAUAAGCAAAAAGUAGUUAUUCUAGGGAUAGGUAUAAAUUGAGGUAUAAGCGGGGAUUAGAUCAAUUUUGCGUUUGGAUGAAAAUUGAGUUAUUCCUGAGAAUAUGAAAAAUAGCGUUUGGUUAGGUAAGAUGGAAUAAGAAGGAUAGUGGGUAGUCAUAAAUAAAAAAUAAUGAUAUUACCCUCUCAUUAUAUUUGAAUUUAAAUUUUUAAAUUUUAAAUUUAAAUAUUUAUAUUUUAAAUUUUUUAAAUAAGAAUAGGGUUGGAACAAUUAAUAAAAAUAAUUUAUUAUAAUAAAAUUAUAAAUUUGAUAAAAAUAAAUAUUUUAAUAAAUUUAUAAAUUUUUUAUUAUUAAUAAAUUUAUAAUUUUUUUAAAAUUUCUACUUAAACUUAAAUUUAAUAAAAAUAAUUUAUUAUAAUAUUUAAAUAUAAAUAAUAUUAUUAAUAUAGUACAAUUAAUAAUUUUAUAACAAAAAUAUAUAACAUAUUAUAUUUAUAUAAUUUAGUUUUAAUUCAAUUCAUAAUUUUAGUUAAGUUUGAAAUUAAACAUUGGAAUAGCACUAUUCCAUCAAAAUAGUAGAAUAGCAAAUCUCAUGCUAUUCCGGAAUAGUCGGGAAUAGUAAGGUUUGACUGAGAUAAAAUAUCCCGGCCAAAAAUUAUUUUGUUUGGCGUAAUAGCAAGGAUAACUUCUGUUAUCCCUGCUUAUACCGCCAACCAAACGGACUGUAUAGGCUUAUUUCCUACGAUAUCAAUCUUUUGAAUAACAUGGCAUCAAAACUAAUUUUAAACUCCUUCGUUUUGUGAGGUUUGUGGGUACUUAAUUAACUCGUCUAUCAAUUCCAUGCGCCUUUUAUAUCUAUCAUGAUCUUUUGAGUAAAAUGGUAUCAUAACUAGUUUUAAACUUGUUAUAGUGUGCUUAAUCUCCAUCUCAACAUUUAAUGGGUUUAAUCUCCAUGUCCUAUUUUACCUAUUGAUUCUAUGCGUCUUCUAUAUCCAUCGAAUACUUUCAUAUUCAUCGUACAUGUGGGUCAGUAACCACGCGAUAGACAAAAAAAAUUUUAUAUCCAUCCAAGCCUGUUUUCUGAACUAUAUAUUGAUCUGUUGGGUAAAAAGUUUAAGCACUUAAACAUAGUAUCAGCUCAUUAACUAGGGAUGCAAACGGGGCGGAUCCGGGGGCGGGAGAGUUCCCCCACCUCCCGCUCCAUUUCUUAUCGGGGCGGGGCGGAUUCGGGGCGAGUUACUUUUCAUUUUAUUUUUGGCUCCCACUUACCGCUCCAUUCGGGGCGGAUCGGGGCGGGAGCCGGAUUUUUGACGGAUCGGGACGGAUUGAAGGAAGAAAAAAGUCUCCCACCUCCUGUUCCAUUUACUUGGCGGAUCGGGGUGGAUUCGGAGCGGGUUAUAUUUUUUUAUAUUUUUUGUUCCCACUUACCACCCCAUUUGGGGCGGAUCGGGGUGGAGCUCCACCAACCCGGAUCCAUUUGCAUCCCUAUCAUUAACCAUGUGUUAGAUGCAAACUAGUUGAAAAUUUUGUUUAAUUUUGAUGGUGUUCUCUACCUAAACCUUGAGUGUUUGGUAAUCUAUUUGCAACUUCAAAAAAAAAAAAGCCUUUUUUUCAAUUAUAUGUUGCAGCUGAGGCAACUAAUCUUUGAUUCCUUAAAUUAUUUCAGGUUUGUUUUUAGUGAUUUAGGAAGAAAUAAAAGUUGGUGGUUGGUUGGCUUGUUUCAUCAUCUUUUUUUUUUCUUUUUUUUUUUUUCAAAGGAGAAAAAAAGAUUUAGCUAUAGAACUAGUUUUGGCUCUAAUAAGUGUUUGUUACAGCAACUCAUUGUUGAUUCAUAUACAAAGAAAGAAAAGGAGUAGGUAGUACUAGAACCAAUUGAAUUGAGAAAAAUGUACACUCAAACAAUUAAUUUCAAAAAUUACUUGUUUCCUCCACAAAUAAAGAAUCAAUAAUUAAAAACAAAAGCCUUGUAAUUUAGCUUCUAAUCAAUUUUAUUCGGAGUUCGACAGUAAAAUUUGUAUAACCAACCAAGAGAAUUUCAGCAAUCUGAGGAACUCCAUUUGCUUUUUUUGGUCUCACCAGUGUCUUUAUCUUGAGGAUGCAUCGAGUUUUUCGCAGCCAAAAGCGGUAGUUCAUCCGCCUUUUCCGCCAUCUGCAGGAACAUCAAAUGCAUGAACAUAAGAGAUUUAUACAUGAGAUCGAUACCGAACGAAGCAUUCGAGUUUUCGUUCUGCUUCGGCUAAAAAUUCUUUGGAGAGGAACCAAACAUGCCUUAAAGUUAGUGAUUUGUGCUCUAAUACUAUCAUUUAGCAAUGAUGUGAUUAUAUAAAGUAAAAUGCGCAAAAUGUACUUGUGAUAUUGGCAAGGCACAAUCAGUGGACUUCUUAUUUUUCUCGCGAACCGAGAAGUAGGAGUAUAAGCCCAUGCCGAGAAUGGCGACGAGGAUGCCUAUGAUGUUCCGCGCGGUGAAGGGUUCGUGCAAGAGGAUGUAGCCAAAGGAAAGGACUAGGCAGGUCUUGAGGUGGCCGAGCACCUGGUACGUCACUGGCGACGUCGUUCCGAUCACUAGGAAUGUGCUGAAGUUCACCGACACCGCGAUCAAACAAGAUAGGACGAUGAAUCCCUACAAGUGAUUGGCGACAGAACGAAAAAGCAUUUGUGGUUGGUUAUCAAUUCGCAAUUGAGCAAUGAUUUGAACUAUUUCGUAGUGAAAUACAUACCAAAACUACAGGCGAGUAACUGUACGCGAAUACGUUGCGCUUGGUGAGGAGCUGGUCCACGAAUGGGCCAGUCGCGAACAAAAUAGCGGCUUGGUACGGUGCGGAUUGGUACAGGAGCUGCGUCGAAGAGACCUUCAACCUCUUCUGUAUUGUGUUUGUUAGCUUUGAUUUAAAUCGAUUUUAAGGUUAAGGGCUGUGCUAGAACUGGAGAUAUAAAACAUGUGUACAUUGAAUUUUCGAUGUUUCGAACAACAUAUAUGUAUGGUAAGAUAUCGAAGGAUACGAUUUGGCCAACGCAGGUUGUAGCGAUGGCGAGGAGGGAGAGAACGGAUCCGAGAAGAUUGAGCUUGAGAUCAGUAACAGACGCAACGCCGACUCCAAAGAGCAAGACCAGAAGAGAGUACUUGAUAUUCUGGCUGCAAGUUCAGCUUACUAUCAGUGGAUGAGUCUGACAUGUAUCAAUCGUGUGCGUAGAAAUUUUCUGUACAUUAUUGAUGUGACAAAAGAUUCAGCAGUCCUUCUGAAGUUAGGUGUGCAUUGUUGAUUGGACAUCAUACAUUUGAAAAAGGGUGAUACUUUUAACAUAGCUGCAGGUUUUGAUAUUUGAAGAUACAUUCAUUGAAUACGUCGCGAUGUUUUAAUGAAUCUAAUCUGUAAGUUUUGAUACUUGGGCUCGAGCUUAUAUUGAACCUAACCCCGACUAAUUUCGGUGGUAGGAAAACAAGUUCCGGCCCGGAGCGAUUUUGGAUGAAGUAGGUAGGUUUGGGUUAGGCCCAAAAACAACAGUAAAGAUGCAUGAUCAACUAAAUUUUAUAAGUUCUCUAUAGACAACCUGAAUGUUUUAUUCAGAAACAGAGUCUCCAACAGCACGGUGAACGGUAUGAUGGCCAAUUUCGUCAUCUGCGAGACAUGGUGGUGUUAUUAACCUAUCAGAAUUUACUACUGACAGAUAGAUACUUUGAAUUCGGGCGUAAACUAAUACCAAAAUAUCUGUAUAACCUGGUAGAAUCCUACGGAGUUGAAGCCCAAGCUGAGGUUGAGGAGGCCGAUGGAUGUGCCGUUGAGGAGCCCGAAUAGGACCACGGUUUGACCGUCUAGUGGUUUGGGCUCGAACAAGUGCAGCUGCUGCGCCACGUGGAGCGUGCAGAACGUCACCAUCAGGUGCCAGCUCGUCAGCGUGGUCGCUGUUUCAAAUUAUAAUUCGCCAUUCAGAAUUGGAUCAGAUAGAAUAAAAUAAAAACAUGAAUGCUUGGGACGAAUUGGCUUAUCUCUACUUACGUACCGAAAGGGAAGCCGAGAGAGCUCAUGAGGGCCUUGUUGCAGAUGACGAUGGCGACCGACGACGCGACGGAGAGCGCCAGCGACCCGACCAUGCCGAGUUGAAACCCCGACAUCGUCGCCGGCCAAGCGGGGUCUGCCGGUGCUUCUUCUCUUGAAGUUUUGCAGCUGCAGAGGUGCAAUAACAAUGUAGCCGACACAAUUGCAGUACACCAUCAAAAUACACCGAAUAAAUUCGCCUAAAAUGUUACCUUAAUAUUUCAGAAGCAGCUUCCUUUUAUACUAGAGAGAGAGAGAGAGAGAGGGAGAGUUUUUGGGAUUAUGUUGGAGUGAGCUCUUGUAGCAUUUUGCUUUCAAAGUUUUGGCACUGUUCCCAUCACUUUGGUUGCACUUACCUAAUCUAAUUAAAAAUAAGUCAAUUGCGUAAAAGUAUAUUAUGUAAAAGAUCGAUCUGAUAAAAACAAAUUAUAUAACUGGAAAGAUCCAAAAAAAAAAAAGAAAAAAAAGUUGACAACUUAAUGACUCAAGAUGCGAGUGUAAGAGUAUAGGAAUCGAUAGAUAUACUCUUGGGGCUAGUCCCGUUUUCUAUCGCGUCGAUCUUUUGCGUAACAUGGUAUCUGAACUCUGAACUCUGUAACGUGUUCUUCAUAUCCAGUAUAUGCGUGUAAAAUAUAUUUCUGAACUCUUUUUCUAUCAGAUUGAUCUUUCGGGUAACAUAAUUCACAAAUGUAUCAUUUAGGGUCUAGUGUCUUUGUAUGCAAGACAUGAUGGUGGAGUGGAAGUUUCAAACCCAAGUGUAGUAGAAUGCAAGCAAAGGCCAUGGCCCAAGAGCUCACUAAAUUAUGAGGGGUGGUUGGUGUAACUUAGAAUCCACUCAAUAUAUGUGAAAAACAAAUAACAUUAAUCCAAUCAUGCUUAGUUAGAAUCACUUUGUCUUUACAUGUUAUAAUUAACCACUUAAUCCCCUCUCUUAUACAUAUGCUAUUUUUUUUAAAUUUAUUUGAGUUUUUAUGCUCAACUCUAUUAGUCAUUAGCUGUUAAUUAGUCUAGUUUUAUUUGCUAACAAAUAAUUAAAAUUAUUAAACUUCGUGAAAUUACUGAUGAAUUUAAUAAACUUUUUAUUUUUUUUUGACUAAAAUUACUUAAUUCUAAUAAAUGAAGAAGUUAAGGUCGAGUCCCUUUCAUAAAAAUUAAAAUGGAGGGGGCCAUUUCACAAUGGGCUAUAGUUAGAGGGUCUCUAUACAUUUUCACUUGCCAAAGAUGGCAAAUUUUAUAUGACGUGUGGCGUGAUGAGAAAAUCCGAUAAAAUAAAUUUUAUAUUUAUUUUUUUAUUUGAUAUCAUGUUUUGAAUAUCUUAAUAAGUCAGUUAUAAUAUAUUUUUUAAUUACAAUCAUACUGAAAAAUAAAAAAAAUAUAUUUCUAUACACGUUCACUCGAAUUUUAUUUAAACAUGUCAAAAUAUCAUCACGUGAACACGAAUUUAGUACAAGUAUUAGAAUAUUCCUUAUUACUAACUCGUAACGAAAUAAAUUAUGUAUUUCAUUAAUUAUUUAUAAUUUUUGAUGUCAUGGUUACUAAGGCUUGUUUGGAAAAAUAUAUUGUUUGUUUCUGUACGUAAUAUUGCGUUCCAUAGAUCGCAAUGAGUCGGUUACGAUAUAUUUUUUGUGGUUCCAGCGGAAAACGCAGAAGCAUAUUCUUAUAUACUUUUACCUUAAUUCUAUUUUAUUUAAUAGCGUUUGAUAAAUCUCAAUACCAAACUAAGUCUAAGAAGAAAUAUUUUUAAUUCAAGACAAGGUCCCACUGGAAAAUAUGACAGUGUGUGAUCUCUUUUAUUACUUCUCAAUUGUUUCCAAAUCGAUUCAAUAUUGCUCAUGCUAGUUUGAUAUUAUCACAACAGAUAAAUAUCAAGAAUAGCAAUAUCAAUUCUCCUAGGCAAUAAAAAAAAGUACCAUUCUAUGUAGGCUUAAUGUUUUACGCUCAAGAUCUUUUCUUUUUUUUGAGAAAUAGGUAGCAAGCUACCUGCUUCAUUCAUUAAGCAAAAUGAAUUUAGCUUAUAAAUUGGAAGCAAGUAGGGCCUCCGAACCGAGCCGAUGGAAUAAGAGAAAACGAGAAAAAAAACCAGGUCCGUGUGACCAAACAAACAAGGGGAAAACAAAAUAAACAAAGGGGAAACAAAGGGCAAAACACGGGAGAGUAUCAAAGUGCUUCGUUCCAGGCUUCGAUCAAAACGGCGACACGUUCGAGUGCCCGAGAGACAUUGAGAGGUACGUCGCGGAAGCAAAUGUCGUUACGCUCCGUCCAGACAACCCACCAAAUUGCCGCCAACUUGGUUAAAAUUUUUGAUCUUCUUACGGCCUCGGGGAUGUCCGAGGUCUGAGUCCAUAGCUGACGUACAUCCCUCACAUCCGAAUCAGCCGCCACUAAUGCUCCUGCUUUAAAACGAAGAUAUCUGACGACGAUACAGUCGUGAAAUAGAUGGUCACAGGUUUCGGCUAGUAACACACAGAACCUACAGUGCUAAUCCACAAGGCACCCUCGGCGAAUCAGUCUGUCUACUGUAGGUAAUCUCUUUCGAAGUAGAAUCCAAAUAAAAACUUUGUGCUUGAGCGAGAUUUUUAACCUCCAUAGUUGAUCAUACAAAGUAUUAAUCUGUCCUCCGUCGGUGAUGAAUUCAUAAAGUGAUUUGACGGUAAAUUUUGGCUGGCGGUCCAAACGCUCAAAAUCUUAAUGAUCUAAACAUAAGUUAUGAUCUGCUCAUUCGUGCUUGGCUCAAUAUAGCUAGUAUAUAUAUAUAUAUAUUACAAACCAAAUAUAAAAAGACUUAUAUUUUGUCAAUUUUAAUUAUGAAAUUAAUAUUCUAAUCUUUUGGUUUUCUUUUAACUUUUUACCCAGCAAAAGGAAUGGCAAUAUAAUUUACUGUUUAUGAGCAAGUUCCUGUUCGGCUUGAUAAUAAAUAAGUCGAACACAAGUUAAAUUUUUCUGCUUAAUAUUUUAAUAAAUCAACUCAUGUUCGGUGUGUCAAGUGUCAACAGACCUAAUGCUACGUGGCAACAUCGUGGUCAUCUACAAUGUAGUGUCAUUAUGAAUUAUUUAUAAAAAGAACAGACACUUUACAACUUGCUAAAGCUAGCAUUCUAAGACUUGUUACAUGCAAACCAAAACCCUAAAACAGUGUAGAAUUUUCUACAGCUUUGCUUUGAUAGUGGAAAACUCUUCUUUCACUUUCUCUACAUGGUGGUAGCAAUUUCAAUAUUCCCCACUCAAUUUAUUUCCAUACCCUUUCUCACCUGAAAAAAAAAACAAAAAGAAAAAAGAAACAAGAAAAGAUAUAGCAAAGUGGAAAUGUCGGCAGGAAUAAAGUCCCAACUUUAUUCUUACUUAAUUUAUUCUUUUUUUUAUAUAUAUUUGAGAGUAACACCAAUGUUUUUGCACUCCCAUGUAUAUAUAUAUAAGUUUAAGUAGCUCAUGAGCUACUUAAAUAAUUCUCCAACACUCCAAAUCCCUCUAAAACUAUCCCAAUUAUUUCCAUCCUCUUCUUAUCAAGUUAUAAUAAUAAUAAUAAUAAUAGUUAUAAUAGUGCGCAUAUAAAGCGUGAAAAUGUCUUUAGUGUUGGUGAUUUCCUUGCCUUGUGUCAUCGUAGGUUUGAUCCUCUGUUUGUGCUGCUACAUGCUGGGCCGGUCCCGGGGCCGGUUUUAGACGGCGACGGCGACGGCGACAGUGACGGAGACCGCGACGGAGUUAUGGCCCUGGCCCGGCCCGAGAGCCUGCGGGCGUGCCGCGGCCGACCGUAGAAGAAGUGAAUGAUUUACAUGAUCAGUAAUGUAGUGUAUGGUAUAUAUACACAUGAAUAUGUGACAUGCAUUUUCUUGUGAAGUGCAUUGUUUUGUGUUUGUAUUUAUGGAUGUAAUGUGAGAGAAUGGUUUGGUUCUAUAAAUACCUGCAUGGAAUUUUCUUUUUUCUUUUUUUAAAUUUUUUUGGAUUGAGUGUCGUCUAAUGCUAGUAUGCAAAACGGAAUUGGAGCGAAAACAUGUAGAGUUGUUGUUCUCUGUUUUCUGAUGGGACACUGCCAAAUAUGUAUUAUAAUCAAAGAAAAGUGUGAUACGCAUAAAAUAUUUUCUCAUCGUACUUUUUCACUGUACUUGAUAUAAUCUCCAUGCAAUCUCAAAUGAAGCCUUAUUAGGCCGGGUUGGGCUCAGCAAACCGGAUUUCCUAAUUGGGCUAGGCCAGUGGGCCGGGUCCGGUUAUGAGAUUCGUGCUUUUGUUUCUCCAAAAUACUGUUUUUAUUAACAUAUAUAAUAUAUAGUGACAUGAAAACUAAUUAAUAGAAUUCGCAACAUGUAUGCUGAGAUCCGUAUAAAGAGUCUUUAAUACUGCUGUAAUAUGUCAACACAUUAAUAUAUAUAUAGAGAGAGUGUUAAAGCUGAAAUACUAUUAAAUAGUAUUUGAAUUUUUUUAGCCGUUAUAUUUAUAUUUUAAUUUACAAUUUUUUUACCUAAAGGUUAAAAAGUUGAUAGCGAAAUAGUCAAAAUACUAGUAGUAUUUCAGUUGAAUUAUAUAUAUAAGGAUAUUAAAAAAGGGGAAAACUUCAAAUACCACUUUAUAGUUUCGCACUUUUUUACUUUAAAAUUAUGUGGUUUAAAGUGUAUCAAUUUAGUAUCCUAUAGUUUCGCACUUUCUCAUGUUAGUAACCUGUCAUGUAAAGUGCAUCAAUUUAGUACCCUGUGGUUUCAUUUGUCUCUUUUCGUCAGCUCCUCUUAAUGUUUUGUUAAAUUAUAUACAAAAAACUUCGGGUACCCUACAUAGGUUUAUCGAAUAUUUGCUUCAGUACUCUUUAGUUUUAACUUUAUCACUGAUUUUUUUUCCUCCGUUAAUAUUUUGUUAAAUUAUAUCUAAAAAACUUCAGAUACCCUAUCUAGGUUUAUCGAAUAUUCAUUUUAGUAUCCUUUAAUUUUAAUUUUGUUACUGAUUUAACGAAAAAAAUUAGUGAAAUAGAUAAUAAAAAGAGAAAAAUAAAACCACAGGUGUGACACCCCAGUAGUCUUAUAUCAGAUAGUUAUGGCUAGAUGUGAGAGUAUGUAAGCUUAAUUGGGCUAGACGUAAUAACUGGGCUUAACCAUUUUAGGCCGAUGGUUUGGCCCAAUGAGUUAUUAUUGCUAGCGGAUCGGGUCGUUAUAUUUAGCGAGGCAAGUCUCAGUAUACUAAACGACAGGAGAUAAAACCUUGAUUGGACAAGUCUCACUUUAGUAUAGUUAUGGCUAGAUGUGGAAGUAUAAAAUCUUGAUUGGAUACAUUUUAAACCACAGAAUACUGAAAAUGUGAAAUCAUACGAGGUAUUUGAAAUUUACCCCAAAAAAAAUUACAAAUAUGUAAAAAUAAUAAAGAAAAAAUAAUGCAACGUGGUCGUUCGUAGCAUGGAGCCUACGUGAAAAGAUGACACAUCAAGUAACCUUUUAGGAUGCAAUAAGUGAUACACGACACGUAUAUAAUAUAAUAAUAUUGUAGAAGUUUCUACAACUUUUGAAUUAAUAAUGUGGCAAAAAAAUAACCUCUCAUAUGAUUAAUUAUUAAUUAAUUAAUUAAUUACCUAUCUCACUCAACAGUACUCUCUCCUCUCGCUUCUUCCUCAAUUCUCCUCGAUCAAUUCCCACUUUACAAAAAGAAAAAGAAGAAGAAGAAGAAGAAACAAAGAGAGAACUUGAUUCAGAUACCUUGUCAUGCACAAGAGGUAUGAAAAAAUUCCACUUUUUUUUUUUUUUUCGACCCGUCGAUUAUAGGUCCUUUUGAAAUUGAUCCUUCAAUUUCUUAUUUAUUUAUUUAUUUUUCCUUCCGAAGAUACCUGUAGGUUUGUGCAUGCACACAUAAAUUAGUGAGCACUCGAUUGAUUACUUAAUAUAUAUAUAUAUAUAUAUUUUAAUGCCUUAUUGAUUUUUUAUUUUGUUCUUAGUUUGAAUUAAUAUAUGUUGAACUGAAUAAUUUUAUUAGCUAUUAGUCGUUAAUUAUUAGUAUUUUUUCGUUGAAAAAUUGAUUAAAAUUAUUGAAUUCUAUGUAAUUUUAAAUUUAAUUAAUUAAUUAAUUAAAGUUGUUUGAAUUGAAUAAAAAAAAGUACACACACACACACGAAUCUCGUACAAUUUUUUAUUUUAAUUAUUAUCAUCAUUACCUGAAGCUAAAUUCCCGCAAAAAUAUACAAUAAUUAAUGGAUAUUUUGGGGGGAUUUAAUUUAAUUACUGGAGUAAAACAAAAAAAACAAAUCCAAUUUAAGUUAUUGUGAGUUAUUAUUAUGAAUUUAUUCGUGCAGGGAAUAGUAGUUACUUAAUUAUCCGGGGAGGAUCAAUCAAUAAUAUGGGAUUCGUGUUGGUGAUAUCCCUACCAUGCAUUAUUCUCCUGUUGAUCAUCGCGCUCGCUUGUUAUCUUCUGGGCAGGUCACGGGGUCGAUUUUAGAACACAAAAUAAAAUAAAAUAAAAAUUAGAACUAAUUAUUGGGCCUCGGCCCAUUAACCUUGGCCCAAAUAAUUAGGUCCAGUUAGGAUUUUGUAAUUUUGUGAUGUGUAAAUUUGUAUUUACUUAAUUAGUGAAGUUUAUUUAAUUUGCUUUGAUGUCAAUUUAAUUAGUACCAAGUUGUGCAUUGUAAAGUGUGUUUUUUUCUUUAAUUGCAAGUUAGAAGCUCGAUUCUUGAAAUAUCACAAUAGUUGUAAUUAUUCAGUAUAAGUAUAUUUUACUUAUAAAAUGAUUUAUCCUACUCGGAAAAAAUGACUUGGAGGAGCUUUUAUUAAGAGCAAUAGUUUAAGGACUACAGUUACUUAAUCUUCCCCCCCCCCCCCCCAAAAAAAGUGAUUUUACUGCUCAACCUUUCAAUUUAUUUAAUUUGCGUUAGUCAACGGCACUUGACUUUAAAAUUUGAAUGCUUUGUUUAUCUUUACAUAUUUAGUUAGUAUACUUUAUAAAAUUUUCCGCAAGUAUAAAUUGAUUAAAGUAAAAAAUUAGUUUAAAAUUUUGAAGUUAAGUUGCUUUUGGUCGACUCAAAUUAAACAAAUUGAAAAGUUGGACAGUGAAAUUUGAAAGAUUAAAUACAUAUUGUAUAUUUGAAAUGAUGUACAGUACAGAUAAAUUUUAUACAUUUUUAUCUCUUUAUAUUUUGUACACCCUCAUCCCCCUAAAAUUAAAAUAAUAAGAGAAAAUAAAAAAGGGUGCACCAUUGGGUUGUGUGGAACAUGUAGAGCUCACAUAGUUUGUCAUGUUGUAAUACAAAUGCAAUGUGAGGUGAUUUAAUUAGUGUAUACAUAGUUACAUACUCCAAUGGAGAGAGAGAUUGGUGAAGCAUGUCACAUGUGGGUCUCUUAUCACCACCUCUCUCUUUUGACACAUGUGGUGUAACAUGAGGACAUCUUGCUAUCAGAGUUUUAAAGUUAUUUUCAAUUUUCAAAACUAUAUUUAAUUUCGAUCAUUAGGGACCAACAUGAACAAGAAAUUGCAAUUUUGAAGGAAUUGGAGGAAAAAAUUAAAGGAAAAGAAAAACCAAGAUAUUGAAGGGGCAUUUGUGUACAUAAAUUAAUCAAGCUGAAUUUUCAAAAGACAAACAAUAAGUUACAUUUUAUGAAGGGUAUAUUGCACAAAGAUAGUUUUAAGGACACCAUUAUGAAGUUUGGAAGAAACUAUUUGUAACAAGCUAAUGCACCAGUACUAAUAAUUUGUUGGGCUAAAACUUUCGACCUAAAAUAUAUACCUAAAAAAUUUAGUUAUUACUAGUAGGAUUUCCGGUCCUUAUAUUUUCAACAUAAUUUUUUUUUUUUUCAUCCGAUGUUAGAUUAUUGGAGCGUUACAGGCUUUUCCUAUUUAAACCAUAACGCUCUCGUUAGGACCAAAUCUAAUCACACGUAUAGACCAGAAUCACACAUGUGGACCUACCCCGGUUUCAAGAUUGGCUCCCUCUUAACACGUGGUAUAGUAUUUUGUCCUACGUAGCACUUAGCUUUUACACUUUCGCAUGAUAUUCAUCUCUGAUAUUAAAUAUAACGACUCGAUUUACUAACAAUAAUAACUCGUUAGGUCCAAACCAUUGGCUUAAAUUGCUUAAGCCCAACUACUAGCUACUACUAGGAUUUUCGAUCUUUAUAUUUUUAAUUAUAAAUUCUUUUCCAUUUGAUGUAGAGUUGUUGGUGUGUUACAUUACAUAAAAAAUACACUAAUAUACUACACUUUUUUUGGGAUGUUUUCAGGGCGGGCGGGGCAGGGGGGAAGCACACAUAAAGACUUUUGAAUUUUUAACAUUGGUAAUUAAACUCCUAAAGUUUAUUAAAUAGUUCAAAAGGCUCUAAUUUCAAAUCGAAAUAACUAAUUAUAUAGCUGUUUUGAUCACAUGUCUAGUAUAUAUUCUUAUAAAGCUUUAAAACAUCAGGACAUUCUGCUCUGAUACCGUUUGAAAUUAAGUAAAAUAUCAAUUUAUCUCCAAAAAUCUUAAGCUUUAAUGGAGAAGGGUGUUUUAAUAUAUAUCUCCACUUGAGCAUAUCUUAGUCAUUAGCAAACAGAUUGGUUGGUGGAUGUUCUCCCACACAUGUUAUCUAACUUCCACUUGGUUCAACAUUGCCAAAUGAAUCAACCUGCCUCAACCUAACAGUUUUAAUUUAAUUUGGUGGUAGGUCACCAAAGGAGUUGAAUAUUACACUUCCACAAAGAAAUUAAUGGUUAGGUAACUUACAUGCAUGGUCAUGUUCAACUUCAUCAACUGCACAUUUUAUAUUUUUUUUGAGAAAAAGAUAGUAAGCUACCUGCGUCAUUCAUUAAGCGUGAUGAACUAAGUAAACAAGAUGGAAGCAUCUAGGGCCUCCUAGAAAAGCCGAAAAAACCAAAGAAAUCAAAACAAAAGGCCAAAAAUAAACAUGUAAAAGGAAAACAAAAGGACGUAGCUAGGGCAGGUGUUAUCGUGAGUCACAUAACGUCAGUCUAGUCCUUCGACAAAGACUCAACGCGAACAGUGGCCCGACUUGCGUUGGGAGGCAUCUCACGAAAGAUAGUGUUGUUGCGCUCGGUCCAGACAACCCACCAGAUCGCCACCAAUCGUGAUAAGCUCUUCACUCUCGACACGGCAUUGGGGUUGCAAGAUAUCUCUUUCCAUAGACGCCGAACAUCCCCCGAGUACACUUCGCUCGCCUCUGUGCCUCCCCUGCACAUUUUAUAUUAAACAUCUAAAUAUAGGUUUAGUAUAUGGAUUCCAAUUAAAUAAGAGGACGUGUACGCACUUUUCUAUUCUAAUACCAUAUAAAAUAAUUAAUGUUUUUAUAAAGUAUUUAAGAUAUCAUCAUUGGAUGUGCUGUGCUUCACUAACAGCACCACAUAUCUAGCUUAGUGGUUUUGUAGUCCAUCACUUUAGGCUCUAAGCCAAAUUUGUCAAUUUGGUACCAUUGUGCAACAUAUCUAUGCAUGGGUUGGAUAUUAUUAUGUAUAUAAAAAGGAAAACAAAAAAAUAUCUAUGGUUUUAAAUCUUUGGUAUACUAAUGUGGGAAUUUGUUGAAUUGAAACAUUUUUAACAUUUUCUGCAUUUUAAUUAGUCGAAUCUUUAGCCAGUUAUGGAAGAGAAGAUCAGGCAGAUGAGUCAUCGACAUCAGAGAUGAUUUACUCUCUAUUCCAUCUUUGCAGCAGAUGCCAACCGCAUUAUAAGUUGCAAUUUUAUCCGGAUUUAAAAUUUUCUAUCAUUCAAAAAGUGGUCAAUCACCAGGUGGUGCAUGGUCAACGACUGAAUAUAAUUCUCUGAUAAUAACUCCUUAAAAAAAGGUUAUUUGUCGUGAAUUGUCAUCUUCUUACAAGAAAAUGAUGGGCAAAAUCACUAUCCUAGAGUUUAAUAACAAGUGAAAAAGUGCUUCUUUAUAACAUUUUGAAUGCUAAGGCUUUGUAUUUUAAUAUAUUGCCAUAUUGGUGAACAACAUAUAAUGAAAGCAUCCAUGUUGUUUUUUAUUUACAAAGCAAAUCACUUCUACAAGAAAAGGUAUAACAUAACAAUAUAUAAUUGCAAAAUAAUGAUACAUGGAAAAAUGCAUUAAGUUUAUGGGUCUCUAUAUGUGAGUGUUCCUAUGAUUGUGACUCUUAUUUGUUUGAGAUUACAGGUGUAGAGAUUGUGCAAGAGAUUUGAUCAUGCAUUAAUUUAACUUUAAUCCACAUGCUUGGAUAAUAAUUAAGAAGCAAAUCAUGUGUGCCAUCCUUGGUAUAUUUUAUUUUAUUUUAGUUCAUAUUUUUUUGACAAAGCAAGUAACUCAGAAAAUGCAAAACCAUGUGAUUUUGAAUAAAUAAAAGGUGAAUUUCUUAACCUCAAAAAGUAUAACUUGGUCGUAAAGUGAUUCAUAGUCACGUGUUGGGGUAAAAAAUAAACCAAUGAAUUAUAUUACGUGCACACGCUAAUAAGCAGAGUAGAUAAAGAAUAAGAAUUUGAAAUGUUAAGCAUUGGGUACGAGGAGAGUUUUAAGUCGAAAUCUCUUAGAAUUGAGAGGUUUUAGACUAAAUCUAUUACAGAUACUCUAUAUGUUUUUCAAAAGAUUAGUCUGAUAGAAAACGGUCAAAAAAUAGCCUUAAAAGCAAAUUUAUGGAUUCUAACCUAAUUGUUGACGAAUAUAUCAACCAAGAAUCGUUUACUCCAAAAGUGAUUCUUAGGUCGCUAUUACUACCUCAUAAAGCAUUAAGUUAAAGCUUUUUGUGGGAUAAAAUAAAAUCACUUUUUGACCACAACAAUUACAAUUUCAAAGAUAAGGCUAAUCAAAUAUAAACAAGAUCAAUGAAGUAAAAUUGGACAUUUUAUUUUAUUUUGUGUUUUAUUUGCACCUAUUUCAGUUGCAUUAAUUAUUGACUCAUUAGGAAAUUAUUGGCUAAUUAAUUAUUUACCUAGUUAAUACAUUAGCAUGAAGGGAGCAUGACAAUAGCAAGUAAAAAAGUCUCAAAUAAAAUUUGUCGUAUUUCUAACACAAAAAAAAUCAUUAAUAGGAAUCUUUCAUUUUUUUUUAAUUAAAAAUAGGAUUUGUUGUAGUAUUUAAUUCUAACAAAACUAUGAAAAUUAAUAUUUAUAUCGGUUUUUUGCACCAUUAAUCUCUUACUUUUUUUUUCGAUUCUUUUAUUUUUUUUCUUGCAAUUAGAUUCUUAAUCUUUAAAAUUAAUUAUACCAUAGUCCCCCAACUUUUAUCCUUCUUUGCACUUUGGUCCCUGAUCUCUCCGCUAAUAUGCGCGCCAAAAAUUGUCUCAACCGCUGCAAAUAAUUUUUUGGAACGUUCGAUGUUGACAUUGAGUUUUUUAAAAAAAGUUAAAUAUUCGAGGGCUAGCGAAUUUUGCUGAUUAAAAUCAAAUUGAAAUUGAAUAUUAUAAAGAUUAUUUUUUUAAAAAAAAAGAAAACAAAGGGUUAGAUACCGAAGUAUAAAAAUGUAAAAGCUAGGGACAAUGGUGCAAUUAAUUUCUCUUUCGGAGUUUGGACGUACGCUGAGGACAAAAUUUGAAUUCAAAAUUUGAAGGAGUAAAAUGAAAAAGUGUUUGAGCGAGUAAAAACGUUCUCUCUCUCUCUUCUCACCAACCACGGGACUUGCACUACUGCCACGUGUCGACAUCUUAUUCCCUGAACGCUUCAGAUCGGACGGCCCAAAUCAUUUUCAAACCAACCCGCACUUUGACCUGGUGACCUCCCUUCGCGCUAGAAUCUAUUGCGUGGACCCGGUGUACCGUGCGCACCCUUUCAUUCCUAAAACCAAUUAUGAAUGUUACAUCAAAGUGAAGUAUCUAAUUUAUUUCGUAUAACUAUUAUGUUUACGCUUUUAAAUGUUUUAGAUUUUAUGUAUUAGAACUAUAUUUUAAAAAAAAAAAUCAAACUUUAUAAUACUGCGACAUAAUUUACUUAAAUAUUUUAGAAGCAAAUAAUUUUUUAAUAAUUAUUAUAAAAUUCAAAUAGUAUAAAUCGUGCUUGAGUCGAUUCGAACACUCAUUCACAACUUUGCGCAGAUAUAUAAAAUUAAUAUAAGUCUAAUCAAACGUGGCCAGUGGUGCACAAGGUGGCAUCUUAGAUACUUCCAGUACCCAAUGAGAAACUGCCACGUGGCGGUAAGUAAAACCCCCGGAACUCCACCCCAGAACCACCCCCCCUCUCUCUCUCUCUCUCUCUCCCUAUUUAAACCCCACUUCCUUUUCUCUCCAUCCACGCGUUUAGUGGAAAGUCUCAGUAUCGAAAACGACUUACUGUCUUGAUGGAGUGCGACGCUAACGGAGUCGUGACGGAUCCGUUAGGGUGGGCGGCGGCGGCGGCGGCGGCUGCGGAGAGUGGGAGCCACCUGGAGGAGGUGAAGCGAAUGGUCGAGGAGUUCCGUGCGCCGGCGGUGACGCUGAAAGGAGUGGAAUUGAAGAUAUCGCAGGUGGCGGCGGUGGCGAUGGCGAAGGCGGUGGCGCCGGGGGUGAGGGUGGAGUUGGCGGAGGCGGCGAGAGGCGGAGUGGAGGCGAGCAGCGAGUGGGUGAUGGAGAGCAUGGCCCGGGGGACGGAUAGUUAUGGGGUCACCACCGGGUUCGGCGCGACCUCGCACCGGAGGACCAAGCAAGGCGGCGCGCUGCAGAAGGAGCUUAUCAGGUACAGCUGAUUAGUCAAAUUAUUAUUUUUUAUUUUCUCGCCAGCUUUGUAGGUAAUUAUAAUUAGCCCGACUUUUUGAUUUUUAAACAUCAAUUUUAUAGAGGGCCAAAAAAAAUACAUUGGGCAGACAAAGAAAUUAAUGUCUACAGACAACGCAUCAGCACAUCUCAUCUUGUGUUUUAAUCAACACUAUCCAAUUAUGAAUGAAAGUUAUUAACAACUUUUGGUAAAAUAUGGUGUAUGAAUAUACAUAUGUAUGAAUAUACGUACAUAUGCACGACAAUAAUAUUUUUAUUUUUUAAGAAAUUAAAAAAAUUUCUAACGGGUGACCAACUACCCACUCAACCCUAGAGGGCCCACAUCAUCCUAACCGCAUAUCUCUUAAUUCAAUGGCUAAAAAUCUACAAGAUAUAUAUAUACUAAUAAUAGGCAUGAGAAUGUUUAAAUCUAAAGAAAUAUGAAUAUAUAAAAGCUGAUAAUUUAUUUCUCUACGCCCCAAUCUUACUAUUACCAGGGGAUCCAACUCAGCCACCAACCAACUUAUCAUAUUAGAUUAUCUAUUUUUAUUAAUUUUCUCAUCUAAAUUGCCAGCUUUUAAAGAUCCAUGUUUUUUUAAAUAUGAGUAUCUACAUACCAUCAGCUUGAGAACGAGGAUUAUCUUAUAUUCUGGAAGAGAGAGAGAGAGAGAGAAAUAUAUAUAUAUAUAUAUAUAUAUAUAUAUAUAUAUCUAUAUCUAUCUAUCUUAACUCGAAGAUACGAAAAUUUUCAUGGUUCUGUAACCAUNAGGAGUUCCGUGCGCCGACAGUGACGCUGAAAGGAGUGGAAUUGAAGAUAUCGCAGGUGGCGGCGGUGGCGAUGGCAAAGGCGGUGGCCCCGGGGGUGAGGGUGGAGUUGGCAGAGGCGGCGAGAGGCGGAGUGGAGGCGAGCAGCGAGUGGGUGAUGGAGAGCAUGGCCCGGGGGACGGAUAGUUAUGGGGUCACCACCGGAUUUGGCGCGACCUCGCACCGGAGGACCAAACAAGGCGGCGCGCUGCAGAAGGAGCUCAUUAGGUACAGCUGAUCAGUCAGAUUUUUAUUCUUUUAUUUUUUUGCCAGUUUUAUAAGUAUUUAUAAUUAGUGUGACUUUUUGUUUUUUAAACUUAAAUUUUAUAGAGGGCAAAAAAAGUAAAUUGGGGCAUGCAGACAAAGAAAUUAAUGUCUACAGACAACGCAGCAGUACAUCUCAUCUUGAGUUUAAAUCAACACUAUCCAAUUAUGAAUGAAAGUUAUUAAAUAACUUUUGGUAAAAUAUGGUGUAUGAAUAUACAUAUGCAUGACAAUAAUAUUUUUAUUUUUUAACGGGUGACCAAUAUAUAUAUAUAUAUAUAUAUAUAUAUAUAUAUAUAAAGGGAGAGAGAAAGAGAGAGUAGGUCUUGUGUUCUUUUAGGAGCACGAAUUCGAUUACUAUACACUUAUGAAUAUAAUUUUUUUUGUAUUCAUAAAUUUUUGACCGUUAAAUCUAUUCUUUUAAUCAUGUUUAUCUAUUAGAUCAUACUAUUCAAUUAAUCACCUACUCAAUUCUAGUGGACCACUAUCAUUCUAACCGCAUAUCUCUUUAUUCAAUAGUCGAAAAUAUAAAGUAUAAAGAUGUCUAAAUUUAUAAGAGUAUAAUAAUCCUAUAUAUAUAUAUAUAUAUAUAUAUAUAAAAUUAAGUUAUUAAUUUGCUCGAUUUGUACUUUCUCUAAAGGUCAACCAGCCAAAACCGAACCGAAGAAUGAGUUGCAUGAGUAGGAAAUACCGAAAUAGCGAACGUCACGGACUCCAAUAAGAGUACUCAUUUUGUGCUUUUAGCUAUAUAGUCUUUUAUAACAAAAUAAUAUGUAUAUAACUAAGUUAAUAGUCAAAUAAGUCUGUAUCUAAAGUUAUUAGCAUGUAGGCCUCAUAUAAAUUGAUCGGAAUCAGUAUUUUAUCCGAUAUGAAAGUAUUGAGAGUGUUACACAUAUAUACAGUAUAUACUAGUGAUUAUAAAAAGUCGCAUAAGAUAUAUAACUAAGAUACUAAAAGGAACAAAUUUAUCUAUCAGGUCAGUAUUAAAGGAGGUGGCUUCAUGUGUUUUUUGGGGAGAUGAUAAAGGCAAAAUCCGCAUGAAAAUUAAGAAGUAUCAAAUAAUAAUAAUAAUGGGAAUUAAAUGACAAAUAUAGAUGUAAAUGUCAACAAUAAAUAGUAAAAAAAAGAAAAAGAGAAGUGCAAUUAAUUGGAAUAAUUUCCUUACCUACAUUGGUGGCACGUCAUGGAUCUUGUAUCCAUCCUUAAUUUGUUCUUGUCCUUUUCCAUGAGUUAGUCUUAUGCAUUUUUUGGAAAUUUUUAAAAAGAAUAUAUAUAUAUAUAUAUAUAGAGAGAGAGAGAGAGAGAGAGAGCAGGACUGCUGCGCUCUCAGGAGCUGUUUUCGAUAAUGGAAUUUUCGAAUCGACGAUCGGCUCCGUUAGACUUGAUCUAGCGUAUUUGAAGUUUCUAGAAAAUAAUUUUUGCGGUUUUUCGAUAUUAUUUAUCUAGCAAUCGAAAGGAUUCAAAAUCAAUAAUUUUUAACGGCUGAAAAUAAAAAUCCUAUAAAAAGUGGUGAUAUAGCACUAAAAUUUUCUAUCAGAAAUAUUGAUCUUGUUGUAGAUAGUAUAAAGAAUUUUGUAUCAAAAUUUUAUCUGAUUUAAAUACUUCUACACCGUUAAACUUGAAAAUAGCAGAUAUCAACCAUUAAAAAUUAUUGAUUUUGAAUCUUUUCGAUGACUAGGUAAAUGAUAUCCAAAAAUUGCAAAAAUUAUUUUCUAGAAUUUCAAAUACCCUAGAUCAAGUCUAAUGGAGUCGAUCGUCGAUUCGAAAAUUCUAUCAUCGAAAACGGCUCAGGAGUACGGCCUGCUCCUAAGA
Molecule: long non-coding RNA, 23311 nt
Filed under: Ananas comosus (pineapple)
Lineage: Eukaryota; Viridiplantae; Streptophyta; Magnoliopsida; Poales; Bromeliaceae
Description: long non-coding RNA (ACOM_LNC012917)
Source: RNAcentral